UUUUUUUUCCCAGACUCGGGGUCAGGGGAGUUGCCUCUUAUCACAGCAUGGCUCCACCUUUGAUAGGACUACAAAGAAGAGCAGUCCUGUGUCGGGGAAGUAAGCAUGGACAUCUUCUAGCAAAAGGAAAGGAAGAUCCUGCUCCCUUACCACUGGUCUCUGCACUGCUCUGUUGACCUUGCAGCCUCCAUGCAGCUGCUGCCUCAGACCACUUCUGCAGCGCUCUCCUGGGGUGGAGCAUCCCACUUCCUGGAGCCUGUCAUUAUCAUGAUGGAGUCUGGAGGAGGGAGAGGAAGAACUAGAAGCUUUAGUGAUGUUGUAGCAGUGGUUCUCAACCUCAACUGCUCAUCGGAAUCAUCUGGAAAGCUUUGACAAGUCAGUGUGCUCAGAAGACGUGGCCCUGUUGAAAUUACUGCCACCAUCCACGGCGGGAGAGCAGGAGGACGCAGACGAGGCAGGCAGUGAGUGCACAGAUUUAAGGCAUAGAACUCCUUCUUCUCUACAGAUUUUAUUCUCACAGAAUGUCUUUCAAGAUUUUAAGGACUGAAUUUUUGGGGAAACCUUGCAAAAUGGCUCAAGAUGAGGAGAUCUAGUCACCCUCCUGAAAGAAUCUUGCAGAAUAGGUGCUGUGACUUCUCUCACUACACAGAUGAAGAAACUGAGACUCACAAAGACGAAGGAAGCUAUGAACUGGAGGCUGAUGACAGAGCCCAAAUGUCUCUUUCCAAAGGACUUAAAGUUAACCUUACGAUUUCAUUCUGCUCUGAAGCAAUUCCUCUCCUAAAACAGAGAAAUCCACAUUCAAGAAAAGAAAAACCGAGAAACAAUGUGAAUUAGUAUGGGCAGCAGCAGCUGAGAAUUAUAGCUCCCUGGGCCCUCCAAGCCCUCUGGUGACUGUGUCAGAUUUUAACAAACCCUCUCUCCUCUCUUCCCAGGCUGCUCUUAAUGCACUACCUUAGAGCAUAAAUAUCUGAUUCCUUUAAAUAUCUGAUUCAUUGGUGCUCCAAUGAAUGCAUUCCACCCUCCCCCACUCAUUUUCUUUCUAGUUGGAGGAACAAGGUGAUCUCCAGAUCAACAGAGAACAAUAAGGGGUGGUCUGGCUACAUUUGCAACUGCCUUUGCUGCUCCCAAUUCUGCUGAUGGCUCUGCAGAUGCCCCCUCCUGCACUUGCCUGAGAUCUGCAAGCUCAGAGCCACUGCACUUCUGGAUGGAGUAAGCUGAGCUGUCUGGUCUGGUUGCUACUCCUGGGAACUCAGUGUCAGCUAAAGAAUGGAAGCCAAGAGAAACGAUGGACAAUCCUCUCCUUCUCGAGACAAAACUGGCUGAGACCAAUAUGGAGGCAGAAGUGAGACAAGCACACCCACCAGCACCAUGACAGAGCUGGUAAAGACCACAUCUGGAAGGAAAAGGAGUGUGAAUGCAGUUGCGGGAAAACCCUGCCUAUUUUCCUCUUAUGCCACUGACACAGACCCUUUAGCUUCUCCCCUCCUUUUUUAGUCUCCCCUAUAAAUCCCUGCUUCUCCCCAGUUUGGGUAGAUGGCCUUUGUGACAGUAGGCUGCCAUGUCCUCACAUCUGCAGGAAACUGAUUAAACCUCUUGUCUCUCAAGUUUUGUCUGAUGAGUGGCAAGUGGCCAUACCCACCCCCCAAAUGCCUGCAACAAUAGAGCCACCAAACUCCCACAAAAGAGUCCUCUGACUCCAAGGUUCGACUGUACAGAGCAAUCAUAUUAAAAUUUUGAUCAAACUCUACAUGACAAUUUGUUGUUCUCUAAGAUAGCCCUGCACAGUUGUUCAGGUUGAACACUGAACAACCUAGGGAGUAACACUGAACAUUCGUGAUAUAGAAUAUAACUUGUAUAUUUCUUGCAACAAAUUUCUGGCAGG
This is a long non-coding RNA of Talpa occidentalis (Iberian mole), 1885 nucleotides long. RefSeq lists it as uncharacterized. The transcript has 6 exons. NCBI's taxonomy places the organism in Eukaryota, Metazoa, Chordata, Mammalia, Eulipotyphla, Talpidae. The record is from RefSeq and is a predicted model, not a curated record.